Long non-coding RNA from Polypterus senegalus (gray bichir), 880 nucleotides. RefSeq lists it as uncharacterized. The transcript is spliced from 4 exons. The record is from RefSeq and is a predicted model, not a curated record. Lineage: Eukaryota; Metazoa; Chordata; Cladistia; Polypteriformes; Polypteridae.
GCAGCAAGGGGUAUAUGACCUUGCAAAGCUAAGCACAAGGUGGAAUUGUUCACAAGGGAAGAAGACAUGACACAGAGCCUCAAAGAAAACGGAGGAAGACAACACCACACCAUGGAGAAAAUGCAACACUUGAUCUCAGAGCACACUCUUUACUCGUGCCACGAGGAAUAAGAACUCUCAGUGGCUAGUAAACAGCCAGCCACCAACACGCUUGGUCAUUUUACUGUGUCAGGUCUAAUGGCCAGAUACCUCACCUACGGAGAAAGAGGACAAACAGCUGUUCACGUCUGGGAUUGAACAUUCAAUAAUGUCAAUAAUGGUGACAACUUUCCGAGGUGGAACUGCACCCCUGACCCAGAAAGAAAUCUACGGACGAAGAAAAGCACAGAAGUGGCUGAAUUUUACGAACAAGUUUGGCUUCUUAAAAUAAAUGGGAUAUGCUGUUGUAAUAUGUCUGCAAUCUCAAAGACGUGAAUUAAUACUCAAUAACGUUUUGGCAGGAAGAGUAGACAUAUUCAGUACGUUUUAAUGUUUUUUUACAUUGGGACCCAGGUACCUUUUGAGUACAUUAGAUAACACAAUAUCAGGCUAGUUAGGUUUUUAAAUUUGUAAAGUUUGCUUUGCUUUAGAACACAAUUUUAUGUUUCAAAUUAAUGUAUUGCCUAACUUUGACUUGAAAAAUACCGAACUUACCCCUUAAUGGCAACUAGCAAGACUGGCCACGUAAUUGUGAAGUCCAACGCUUUGCGCACAUUUUAAGACCUUAUAGCUAAAUUUAGGCCUUCUCCUUGAAGUCCUUCAUAGCACUAACAGGUUGAAGAGCUCUUUUUAAUCUCUAUUACUGUUUUGACUGAAUACUUAUACACAUUUCCUAUUUCUA